RNAcentral lists this ribosomal RNA (208 nucleotides) under uncultured bacterium. RNAcentral describes it as "partial 16S ribosomal RNA". It matches the Rfam family "Bacterial small subunit ribosomal RNA", at positions 340 to 545 of the family's 1533-position model. The record is from RNAcentral. RNAcentral also lists the same sequence under 1 other name.
UACGGGAGGCAGCAGUGAGGAAUAUUGGGCAAUGGAGGCAACUCUGACCCAGCCAUGUCGCGUGCAGGAAGACGGUCCUAUGGAUUGUAAACUGCUUUUGUACGGGAAGAAACAUCUCUUCGAGAAGAGACUUGACGGUACCGUAAGAAUAAGGAUCGGCUAACUCCGUGCCAGCAGCCGCGGUAAUACGGAGGAUCCAAGCGUUAUC